RNAcentral lists this unclassified non-coding RNA (285 nucleotides) under Hevea brasiliensis (rubber tree). The record is from RNAcentral. Lineage: Eukaryota; Viridiplantae; Streptophyta; Magnoliopsida; Malpighiales; Euphorbiaceae.
GCAUUGAAGCAUUUGACCUGAUGACAAGUAUAACAUUAGAUCCUUGACAAAAAGUAGAAACAGAAUGCUUUAAGAACUGUGACUGUUUGAAUAUCCAACCAGAACCCUUUGCUAGGUGCCCAAGCCAAGGCUUUAUCUUUACUCCCUGCCAAUGCAAGGAGGAUAUAUUACUAGUCCAUAAGACCAGUGGCAAGACAUUUUAAUCUCACAAACUCUGAAGACUAUUUUCAGAUAUCUGAAGGUUGAUUUUGCAAUGCCAGGCAAUAAUGUCUAGGCACAUCAACG